Molecule: ribosomal RNA, 468 nt
Filed under: uncultured bacterium
Lineage: Bacteria
Description: partial 16S ribosomal RNA
Rfam family: Bacterial small subunit ribosomal RNA
Source: RNAcentral
GAUGAACGCUGGCGGCGUGCUUAACACAUGCAAGUCGAACGGAAAGGCCCUGCGUUUGUGGGGUGCUCGUGUGGCGAACGGGGGAGUAACACGUGUGUAACCUGCCCUUGACUUUGGGAUAACUUCAGGAAACUGGGGCUAAUACCGGAUAGGAGCUUCUGCUGCGUGGUGGGGGUUGGAAAGUUUCGGCGGUUGUGGAUGGACUCGCGGCUUAUCCGCUGGUUGGUGGGGUAGUGGCUUACCAAGGGUUUGACGGGUAGGCGGCAUGAGAGGUUGGCCGGCCACAUUAGGACUGCGAUACGGCCCAGACUCGUACGGGAGGCAGCAGUCGGGAAUCUUGCACAGUGAGCGGAAGCGUGAUGCAGCAACGCCGCGUGCGGGAUGACGGCCUUCGGGUUGUAAACCGCUUUCGCCUGUGCCGAAGCGUGAGUGACGGUAAUGGGUAAAGAAGCACCGGCUAACUACGUG